GAUGAACGCUGGCGGCGUGCCUAAUACAUGCAAGUCGAGCGAACGGACGAGAAGCUUGCUUCUCUGAUGUUAGCGGCGGACGGGUGAGUAACACGUGGAUAACCUACCUAUAAGACUGGGAUAACUUCGGGAAACCGGAGCUAAUACCGGAUAAUAUUUUGAACCGCAUGGUUCAAAAGUGAAAGACGGUCUUGCUGUCACUUAUAGAUGGAUCCGCGCUGCAUUAGCUAGUUGGUAAGGUAACGGCUUACCAAGGCAACGAUGCAUAGCCGACCUGAGAGGGUGAUCGGCCACACUGGAACUGAGACACGGUCCAGACUCCUACGGGAGGCAGCAGUAGGGAAUCUUCCGCAAUGGGCGAAAGCCUGACGGAGCAACGCCGCGUGAGUGAUGAAGGUCUUCGGAUCGUAAAACUCUGUUAUUAGGGAAGAACAUAUGUGUAAGUAACUGUGCACAUCUUGACGGUACCUAAUCAGAAAGCCACGGCUAACUACGUGCCAGCAGCCGCGGUAAUACGUAGGUGGCAAGCGUUAUCCGGAAUUAUUGGGCGUAAAGCGCGCGUAGGCGGUUUUUUAAGUCUGAUGUGAAAGCCCACGGCUCAACCGUGGAGGGUCAUUGGAAACUGGAAAACUUGAGUGCAGAAGAGGAAAGUGGAAUUCCAUGUGUAGCGGUGAAAUGCGCAGAGAUAUGGAGGAACACCAGUGGCGAAGGCGACUUUCUGGUCUGUAACUGACGCUGAUGUGCGAAAGCGUGGGGAUCAAACAGGAUUAGAUACCCUGGUAGUCCACGCCGUAAACGAUGAGUGCUAAGUGUUAGGGGGUUUCCGCCCCUUAGUGCUGCAGCUAACGCAUUAAGCACUCCGCCUGGGGAGUACGACCGCAAGGUUGAAACUCAAAGGAAUUGACGGGGAUCCGCACAAGCGGUGGAGCAUGUGGUUUAAUUCGAAGCAACGCGAAGAACCUUACCAAAUCUUGACAUCCUUUGACAACUCUAGAGAUAGAGCCUUCCCCUUCGGGGGACAAAGUGACAGGUGGUGCAUGGUUGUCGUCAGCUCGUGUCGUGAGAUGUUGGGUUAAGUCCCGCAACGAGCGCAACCCUUAAGCUUAGUUGCCAUCAUUAAGUUGGGCACUCUAAGUUGACUGCCGGUGACAAACCGGAGGAAGGUGGGGAUGACGUCAAAUCAUCAUGCCCCUUAUGAUUUGGGCUACACACGUGCUACAAUGGACAAUACAAAGGGCAGCGAAACCGCGAGGUCAAGCAAAUCCCAUAAAGUUGUUCUCAGUUCGGAUUGUAGUCUGCAACUCGACUACAUGAAGCUGGAAUCGCUAGUAAUCGUAGAUCAGCAUGCUACGGUGAAUACGUUCCCGGGUCU
Molecule: ribosomal RNA, 1372 nt
Filed under: uncultured bacterium
Lineage: Bacteria
Description: bacterial SSU rRNA
Rfam family: Bacterial small subunit ribosomal RNA
Source: RNAcentral